GAUGAACGCUGGCGGCGUGCCUAAUACAUGCAAGUCGAGCGAACAGACGAGGAGCUUGCUCCUCUGACGUUAGCGGCGGACGGGUGAGUAACACGUGGAUAACCUACCUAUAAGACUGGGAUAACUUCGGGAAACCGGAGCUAAUACCGGAUAAUAUAUUGAACCGCAUGGUUCAAUAGUGAAAGACGGUUUUGCUGUCACUUAUAGAUGGAUCCGCGCCGCAUUAGCUAGUUGGUAAGGUAACGGCUUACCAAGGCAACGAUGCGUAGCCGACCUGAGAGGGUGAUCGGCCACACUAGAACGUAGACACGGUCCAGACUCCUACGGGAGGCAGCAGUAGGGAAUCUUACGCAAUGGGCGAAAGCCUGACGGAGCAACGCCGCGUGAGUGAUGAAGGUCUUCGGAUCGUAAAACUCUGUUAUUAGGGAAGAACAAAUGUGUAAGUAACUAUGCACGUCUUGACGGUACCUAAUCAGAAAGCCACGGCUAACUACGUG
This 497-nucleotide ribosomal RNA is filed under the name uncultured bacterium. Its description in RNAcentral is "partial 16S ribosomal RNA". It matches the Rfam family "Bacterial small subunit ribosomal RNA", at positions 28 to 507 of the family's 1533-position model. The record is from RNAcentral.